UUUCAGAAAUGAUCUUGUAGGUCAUUGUGGCGCUUCGUAGGUUGGUUCUCGACCACUCGUUUUCUCCAGGUUUUGGACGGUUCGGCACAAGAUAGGAUGAAGACUUUUUGGGGUUAAGGAGACACAUUAAUUAAAUGAAUGGGUCAGCUUAUGAGACUCGUUGUUGGAGUUUGGGAAUGCCUGAGGCCAGGCGCGUAGAGGUUCAUUAUGGACCAUACACAAGUCAAGGACGAUGUGGUGGUUAAGGAGAAUGAGAGCCAUGCUUCUUUGAUGUCAUUGGCACAUGAAAAAUAUAGGGUAGACCCAAUAAAGCCAGUGUCAUUUACGUACGACACGUCCUAGACUAGAUGAAAAUCCUGGAGAUUAUACCACACCACAUGUUGAUAUUCUAGAGGAUGGGGAUGUGGAGCUUUUCAUGGCUGUAAGACUUGACUACGUCAAAAUGAAGAUUUUCCUGUCUAUUGGUCACAGCAAUGUCGAACGUUACAAAACAAAGAGGAAAGAAUGAUGAGGAGGAUAGCACAAGAGGUGUGACCUAAACUAAUACCUUGGAGACGUGAAUAUACCUUCCUUUUUAGCUUGUACCAGCUAACAAACUAAGUUGAAUGUUAACAAUAUGUGUUUCCUUACAAGUAUAAGGGAGCACAGGUGGAUCCACGCAAGCGAGGAAGUUCUUAUGAAUAUAUGCAGUGCAGAGGAAAAGGAAAAGAUUCAGAGAAUGACACUGUGGGGGGGGGAACUGAAUCAUUCAUUGACUCAUCUAAUGAAGGGGAAGUGCUGGGUCCUCUACGACAUAUGGAUUGAAUAAUCUGCCUAGAUGAGGGUGAUGAAAUUGUUUCCCAUCACCCUAGUCUAACCUUCACUAUGAUAAGUUGGAAAUAUGGAAGACGAAAGAGUAACCAACAUGGUAGCUGAC
Molecule: long non-coding RNA, 916 nt
Organism: Brassica oleracea var. oleracea
Lineage: Eukaryota; Viridiplantae; Streptophyta; Magnoliopsida; Brassicales; Brassicaceae
Exons: 3
Source: RefSeq, a predicted model, not a curated record